This 253-nucleotide ribosomal RNA is filed under the name uncultured bacterium. RNAcentral describes it as "partial 16S ribosomal RNA". It matches the Rfam family "Bacterial small subunit ribosomal RNA", at positions 524 to 776 of the family's 1533-position model. The record is from RNAcentral.
UACGUAGGGUGCAAGCGUUGUUCGGAAUUACUGGGCGUAAAGCGCGCGCAGGCGGUCUUCCAAGUCAGUGGUGAAAGCCUGGAGCUCAACUCCAGAACUGCCAUUGAAACUGUUAGACUUGAGUACGAGAGAGGUGAGUGGAAUUCCCAGUGUAGAGGUGAAAUUCGUAGAUAUUGGGAAGAACACCAGUGGCGAAGGCGGCUCACUGGCUCGUAACUGACGCUCAGGCGCGACAGCGUGGGGAUCAAACGGG